GAUGAACGCUGGCGGCGUGCUUAACACAUGCAAGUCGAACGAGAGAAGAUCGGUGCUUGCACUGAUCCGAUCGAGUGGCGGACGGGUGAGUAACGUGUGGGUAACCUGCCUCAUACAGGGGAAUAACAGUUGGAAACGGCUGCUAAAACCGCAUAAGCGCACAGUAACGCAUGAUACAGUGUGAAAAACUCCGGUGGUAUGAGAUGGACCCGCGUCGGAUUAGCUAGUUGGUGAGGUAACGGCCCACCAAGGCAACGAUCAGUAGCCGGCCUGAGAGGGUGAACGGCCACAUUGGGACUGUGACACGGCCCAAACUCCUACGGGAGGCAGCAGUGGGGAAUAUUGCACAAUGGGGGAAACCCUGAUGCAGCGACGCCGCGUGAGUGAUGAAGUAUUUCGGUAUGUAAAGCUCUAUCAGCAGGGAAGAUAAUGACGGUACCUGACUAAGAAGCACCGGCUAAAUACGUGCCAGCAGCCGCUGUAA
Molecule: ribosomal RNA, 484 nt
Filed under: uncultured bacterium
Lineage: Bacteria
Description: partial 16S ribosomal RNA
Rfam family: Bacterial small subunit ribosomal RNA
Source: RNAcentral